Long non-coding RNA from Dermochelys coriacea (leatherback sea turtle), 858 nucleotides. RefSeq lists it as uncharacterized. The transcript has 3 exons. The record is from RefSeq and is a predicted model, not a curated record. NCBI's taxonomy places the organism in Eukaryota, Metazoa, Chordata, Testudines, Dermochelyidae.
CCAAAACAGGUAGUUCUUGGGAAGAACAUUAAUAACUUGGGAUUUUUAGGAAAAAUGCCAGUGCUAAAUCAAUUGCUAAAGCUGAGAGUUAAUGUCAAAGAGAGCUCCACAACAAAAAGGGCCAAUAACUUACUAUUAGUGGCAGAGUGCCUGUGCUUUGUAAGUGUUUCCACAUGGGAUGGAUUGAUGAGAUAAUUGAUUAAUUACCAAUUAAGGUGAUUCAGCUCCUCAGUUGAGGAUAAUUAAAAGAGAGAGAGGAAGGCAGGAAAAGCCUAAAGAAAGGGCUAGAGAAACCUAGGUUUGCAGGGAGAUUUUACCCUGUGUCUAGACUCUAGGGAGAAGGACUCAUUCAGCACAUUAUUUUUAAAAAAAAAGUAAGCCCCACAGUGGUGGGGAACCUGUGCAGGACUGUGUGCAGAGAGAGGCCUACUUUGUGACUCUCCUUUUAAAAUGAAAGCAACAAGGACUGAGGAGGAAGGCCAUUUCCUGGUAUAUAAUGACCAGCUGGAAAAGAUCAAAACCCAAGGUAGGGGACCAGACCUUUAAGCAAGCCAGGAAAUAAUGCUGGACCUGGAGUUUCCCAGCUGGCGCGCCUGGCAUUGUGACAUGAUGUGUUAGGUUGCAUCAGUCACAUUGUUCUACAUGACAUCGCAGAUCAGAAGGGGACAUGACUGAUGAAAGGUGAUGGUGUCACAUCACAAUACGAGGCCUCAGCUGGGGAAGUCUGAACAAUUCUCCAAACCAUUGUUUAAAGAAAAAAAAAAGAUUUGGGUUGAAGAGAAUGUUCCCUUCAUAUCCCUCCUCCACUCUGCAAUCCCUUUCAAAUUAAAAGUUUUGCUAGCUGUGCUGCCCAAAUUA